This 406-nucleotide ribosomal RNA is filed under the name uncultured bacterium. RNAcentral describes it as "bacterial SSU rRNA". It matches the Rfam family "Bacterial small subunit ribosomal RNA", at positions 355 to 776 of the family's 1533-position model. The record is from RNAcentral.
UGGGGAAUAUUGCACAAUGGGGGAAACCCUGAUGCAGCAACGCCGCGUGAGCGAAGAAGGCCUUUGGGUCGUAAAGCUCUGUCCUUAGGGAAGAAGGAAGUGACGGUACCUAAGGAGGAAGCCCCGGCUAACUACGUGCCAGCAGCCGCGGUAAUACGUAGGGGGCAAGCGUUAUCCGGAAUUAUUGGGCGUAAAGGGUACGUAGGCGGUUUGAUAAGCGUGAGGUGAAAGGCAAUUGCUUAACGAUUGUAAGCCUUGCGAACUGUGAGACUUGAGUGCAGGAGAGGAAAGCGGAAUUCCUAGUGUAGCGGUGAAAUGCGUAGAUAUUAGGAGGAACACCAGUGGCGAAGGCGGCUUUCUGGACUGUAACUGACGCUGAGGUACGAAAGCGUGGGGAGCAAACAGG